Molecule: ribosomal RNA, 774 nt
Filed under: uncultured Neocallimastigales
Lineage: Eukaryota; Fungi; Neocallimastigomycota; Neocallimastigomycetes; Neocallimastigales
Description: partial large subunit ribosomal RNA
Rfam family: Eukaryotic large subunit ribosomal RNA
Source: RNAcentral
UAUGUGAUCGUCUCUCGCAUAUCAAUAAGCGGAGGAAAAGAAACUAACAAGGAUUCCCCUAGUAACGGCGAGUGAAGCGGGAAGAGCUCAAAUUUGAAAUCUUAAAGGGUUUCCCUUUACGAAUUGUAGUUUAAAGAAGUGUUUUCUGUUGAGGUUUUGGUAAAAGUUCUUUGGAAUAGGACAUCAUAGAGGGUGAGAAUCCCGUAUUUGACCUUUACUUUCAACUUUGUGAUACACUUUCAAAGAGUCGGAUUGUUUGGGAAUGCAGUCCAAAAUGGGUGGUAAAUUUCAUCUAAAGCUAAAUAUUGGCGAGAGACCGAUAGCGAACAAGUACCGUGAGGGAAAGAUGAAAAGAACUUUGAAAAGAGAGUUAAACAGUACGUGAAAUUGUCAAAAGGGAAGCGUUUGACACCAGUGUUGUUUUUCUGAAGAUCAAUUAAAGAACUGUUUAUGCUAAGUUGUUUAGACUUUAUCAGCUAACUGUUUAGUUUUGAGCUUUUCUUUAAUGCACUUUACAGUUAACAAGUCAACAUCAAUUUCUUUUGCUGUAAAAAAGCUUGAGGAAGGUGGCUUGAGAUUCGUCUUAAGUGUUUAUAGCCUCUUGCCUAUGCAGUCGGAGAGAUUGAGGUCUGCAGCGUAGAUCCUUCGGGGCUAAAUGCAUUUGUGCUAAGUUAUAGCAUUUUAUAGACAACUUGUUGACUAUGAUUUGUCUUGUAGCUUACUCGCUUAUGUUAUUUUACCUACGCUUAGGAUGUUGACUGAUAUGUAGUCGUA